CCUACGGGUGGCAGCAGUGGGGGAUAUUGCACAAUGGGGGAAACCCUGAUGCAGCGACGCCGCGUGGGUGAAGAAGCGCCUCGGCGCGUAAAGCCCUGUCAGCAGGGAAGAAAAUGACGGUACCUGAAGAAGAACCCCCGGCUAACUACGUGCCAGCAGCCGCGGUAAUACGGAGGGGGCAAGCGUUAUCCGGAUUUACUGGGUGUAAAGGGGGCGCAGACGGCGAUGCAAGCCAGGAGUGAAAGCCCGGGGCCAAACCCCGGGACUGCUCUUGGAACUGCGUGGCUAGAGUGCAGGAGAGGCAGGCGGAAUUCCUGGUGUAGCGGUGAAAUGCGUAGAGAGCAGGAGGAACACCGGUGGCGAAGGCGGCCUGCUGGACUGCAACUGACGUUGAGGCCCGAAAGCGUGGGGAGCAAACAGGAUUAGAUACCCUUGUAGUC
RNAcentral lists this ribosomal RNA (440 nucleotides) under uncultured bacterium. Its description in RNAcentral is "partial 16S ribosomal RNA". It matches the Rfam family "Bacterial small subunit ribosomal RNA", at positions 338 to 795 of the family's 1533-position model. The record is from RNAcentral.